UUCCAGACUCCUACGGGAGGCAGCAGUGGGGAAUAUUGGACAAUGGGGGAAACCCUUAUCCAGCGACGCCGCGUGAGGGAAGAAGGUUUUCGGAUUGUAAACCUCUGUCAGUGGGGACGAUAAUGACGGUACCCACGGAGGAAGCCACGGCUAACUACGUGCCAGCAGCCGCGGUAAUACGUAGGUGGCAAGCGUUGUCCGGAAUUACUGGGUGUAAAGGGAGCGUAGGCGGGGUGUCAAGUCAGAAGUGAAAAUUAUGGGCUCAACUCAUAACCUGCUUUUGAAACUGAUAUUCUUGAGUGAAGUAGAGGCAAGCGGAAUUCCUAGUGUAGCGGUGAAAUGCGUAGAUAUUAGGAGGAACACCAGUGGCGAAGGCGGCUUGCUGGGCUUUUACUGACGCUGAGGCUCGAAAGCGUGGGGAGCAAACAGGAUUAGAUCCCCGAGUA
RNAcentral lists this ribosomal RNA (446 nucleotides) under uncultured bacterium. RNAcentral describes it as "bacterial SSU rRNA". It matches the Rfam family "Bacterial small subunit ribosomal RNA", at positions 329 to 792 of the family's 1533-position model. The record is from RNAcentral.